RNAcentral lists this ribosomal RNA (1443 nucleotides) under metagenome. RNAcentral's name for it is "bacterial SSU rRNA". It matches the Rfam family "Bacterial small subunit ribosomal RNA". The record is from RNAcentral.
AGAGUUUGAUCCUGGCUCAGGAUGAACGCUGGCGGCGUGCUUAACACAUGCAAGUCGAACGAUCCUUCGGGAUAGUGGCGGACGGGUGAGUAACGCGUGGGAAUCUGCCCUCAGGAGGGGGAUAACGGCUGGAAACGGCCGCUAAUACCCCAUAUGCCGAGAGGUGAAAUGAAUUUCGCCUGAGGAUGAGCCCGCGUCUGAUUAGCUAGUUGGUGGGGUAAAGGCCUACCAAGGCAACGAUCAGUAGCUGGUCUGAGAGGAUGAUCAGCCACACUGGGACUGAGACACGGCCCAGACUCCUACGGGAGGCAGCAGUGGGGAAUUUUCCGCAAUGGGCGAAAGCCUGACGGAGCAACGCCGCGUGAGGGAUGAAGGCCUCUGGGCUGUAAACCUCUUUUCUCAAGGAAGAAGACCUGACGGUACUUGAGGAAUAAGCCACGGCUAAUUCCGUGCCAGCAGCCGCGGUAAUACGGGAGUGGCAAGCGUUAUCCGGAAUUAUUGGGCGUAAAGCGUCCGCAGGCGGCCUUGUAAGUCUGUUGUUAAAGCGUGGAGCUCAACUCCAUUUAAGCAAUGGAAACUACAAGGCUGGAGUGUGGUAGGGGCAGAGGGAAUUCCCGGUGUAGCGGUGAAAUGCGUAGAUAUCGGGAAGAACACCAGUGGCGAAGGCGCUCUGCUGGGCCAUAACUGACGCUCAUGGACGAAAGCCAGGGGAGCGAAAGGGAUUAGAUACCCCUGUAGUCCUGGCCGUAAACGAUGAACACUAGGUGUCGGGGGAAUCGACCCCCUCGGUGUCGUAGCCAACGCGUUAAGUGUUCCGCCUGGGGAGUACGCACGCAAGUGUGAAACUCAAAGGAAUUGACGGGGGCCCGCACAAGCGGCGGAGUAUGUGGUUUAAUUCGAUGCAACGCGAAGAACCUUACCAGGGUUUGACAUCCUGCGAACCCCUGAGAAAUCGGGGGGUGCCUUCGGGAGCGCAGAGACAGGUGGUGCAUGGCUGUCGUCAGCUCGUGUCGUGAGAUGUUGGGUUAAGUCCCGCAACGAGCGCAACCCACGUCUUUAGUUGCCAGCAUUCAGUUGGGCACUCUAGAGAGACCGCCGGUGAUAAACCGGAGGAAGGUGUGGAUGACGUCAAGUCAUCAUGCCCCUUACAUCCUGGGCUACACACGUACUACAAUGCUACGGACAAAGGGCAGCAAGCUCGCGAGAGUUAGCAAAUCCCAUAAACCGUGGCUCAGUUCAGAUCGUAGGCUGCAACUCGCCUACGUGAAGGAGGAAUCGCUAGUAAUCGCAGGUCAGCAUACUGCGGUGAAUACGUUCCCGGGCCUUGUACACACCGCCCGUCACACCAUGGAAGUUGGCCAUGCCCGAAGUCGUUACUCCAACCCUUGUGGAGGAGGACGCCGAAGGUGGGGCUGAUGACUGGGGUGAAGUCGGAACAAGGUA